Molecule: ribosomal RNA, 495 nt
Filed under: uncultured bacterium
Lineage: Bacteria
Description: partial 16S ribosomal RNA
Rfam family: Bacterial small subunit ribosomal RNA
Source: RNAcentral
GACGAACGCUGGCGGCGUGCCUAAUACAUGCAAGUAGAACGCUGAAGGAGGAGCUUGCUUCUCUGGAUGAGUUGCGAACGGGUGAGUAACGCGUAGGUAACCUGCCUGGUAGCGGGGGAUAACUAUUGGAAACGAUAGCUAAUACCGCAUAAUAGUAGAUGUUGCAUGACAUUUGCUUAAAAGGUGCAAUUGCAUCACUACCAGAUGGACCUGCGUUGUAUUAGCUAGUUGGUGGGGUAACGGCUCACCAAGGCGACGAUACCGCGCCGACCGGGGAGGGGGGGCAGCCACCCUGGGACGGAGACCCGGCCCAGACGCCUUCGGGAGGCGGCAGGAGGGAAUCGUCGGCAAGGGACGGGAGACUGACCGAGCAACGCCGCGUGAGUGAAGAAUGUUGUCGGGUCGUAAAGCUCGGUUGUAAGAGAAGAACGAGUGUGAGAGUGGAAAGAUCACACUGUGACGGUAACUUACCAGAAAGGGACGGCUAACUACGUG